Long non-coding RNA from Bolinopsis microptera, 761 nucleotides. RefSeq lists it as uncharacterized. The record is from RefSeq and is a predicted model, not a curated record. Lineage: Eukaryota; Metazoa; Ctenophora; Tentaculata; Lobata; Bolinopsidae. The transcript has 7 exons.
GUUUGUUAAAAGACUUCGAUCCGCUCACAGCCAUGCAGAUUAAGACGAAUUUAGAUCGACAUUAUUUUGAUAACAAUGAAAACUCAAAUGCUUGAAACGAAAUGAGUGGAGUUGAACGACGCCUGUUUAUCGAAACUACAUCAAUCAACUUUUCAACUAUGCAGGUGAUCGAUCUGGAGAGAUGAAAACAGUCUUAUGAUCUUCACACAGUCUCAGCUUUUUGGCAUUUACUAAUAUCUGAUGAACGGAUUUCAAAAUGUACAAGGCAUCAUAUCAAAGAUUGCAUAUGCCCGAAAGAAGGACAAAUCCAAUUUGGCUCUCUGGAUGUAUGGAAAGCUCUCAACCUUCCAGAAAAGGACUGUUCAAAGGAACACUUAAAUCCCUCCGACAGACAAAGAUAACCUCUCUAGGCCCUCUGGUGGUGACGUAUAAGUGCUUUCUCAGUACUUUCUCUCGCUUUUGGACAAAUCCAAGUGCUGUAUCUGUACCCGAAUAGAAAUAAAGGAUUUUAAUGACACAGUUUUCUUCCGCUCUGAAAGUGAACGAAUUACAAAACAGUCUAGAGAAUUCCUCGCCCUGCUGCAGAAGAUCAAUCCUGGGUUGUGCUCACCAAAGCAAACCUCUUUAUUUGUGUAUUCAGUGUCUUAACUAUGUAAAAGACAACUAUAACAGGGUGUACAGUGCUGUUUCUGAAAUUGACGAAUCCUCUUGUGAUGAAGAUUGAAGAAGCUAUUGCCAUCCAAGUGGAAAAAGUCCCGCCU